CAUCACACAAGAGGUUAGCAUUUGAACAUACAUAUUUGGGGAAACAUAAAUAUUCCAACGGUAGUAGGAAUUUAAUAAUACAAAGACAUUAAUUUCAGUAGACAUUUUAAGCCUUAGAUACAGUUUGAGUGAUCCUAUGGAGGUAAGUUAGUUAUGUGGAAAAAUUUAAAAUUAUGUCAAAAGGAGCAGAAAUGAAAGGAUCUGGGGGUAGGCAGAGGCAGGAGAACAAGGCAGCUUCACUAAAACCUGUCCUUGUCCACUUCUGUAAACUGAAUGCAACAUCCCUAAUUCCUGAAACUGUGAUAUAAAAAAGUAAUUGUGA
Phyllostomus discolor (pale spear-nosed bat) is the source of this 322-nucleotide long non-coding RNA. RefSeq lists it as uncharacterized. The record is from RefSeq and is a predicted model, not a curated record. The transcript is spliced from 2 exons. NCBI's taxonomy places the organism in Eukaryota, Metazoa, Chordata, Mammalia, Chiroptera, Phyllostomidae.